CCCGUGCUACAACCGCACAGAUGCAGGUAUAAAGUUUUUCGGAUUGCUCCGGAUCACCUGUUUGCUGGCGAGUCUGAGUCUAAUU
Molecule: non-coding RNA, 85 nt
Organism: Bacillus sp. HMSC76G11
Lineage: Bacteria; Bacillati; Bacillota; Bacilli; Caryophanales; Bacillaceae
Source: Rfam